Long non-coding RNA from Rhagoletis zephyria (snowberry fruit fly), 558 nucleotides. RefSeq lists it as uncharacterized. The record is from RefSeq and is a predicted model, not a curated record. Lineage: Eukaryota; Metazoa; Arthropoda; Insecta; Diptera; Tephritidae.
GAUGUCAAUUGCCCGCUCCUGCAUCAGCACGCUACCAGUAGAAAUACUAGUAUUAUCAUACCAGUUGACGGGAUAGACUGCCUAUUCAUCCCCUGUGAAAAGCAUACAUAACUAUGCCAUUUUGCUCGCGGCGCUGAAACUGGCAAUGGUCGACAGAGUAAAGCUUCGGUACGCCAAAUAAAGGGAUCCGAGUUCGUAUCUCAUUUACUUUAACAACCUCCAAGCGCACUCGUACCUGAGAUCUCAGAACCAGAAUCGGUAGUCUUCACUCGACGUCACAGCCGACAUUCAUGAUGAAAGCAAUUAACCGCAUUUGAGUUUUGGUUGUGGCUAUUCAAAGACAGAUGUCGCUGAUCGCAUAAGUUGUUCGAAAUCACCAAAAAGCGAGAGGUCGUGUUUUCUACAAGCAACAGCGGAGUCGUUUCAGCAGACGAGUGGUGGCAUUUUUCUGAUUUUGGUACAGCUGUGUUAAAAGCCUUUUACUUUCAAAUAAAGUUAUUAAAAUUUGAUUAAUAUCUGUGAGUUUUUAUAAACUAUUUAAUAAGGUGUUUGUGGACG